UAUAGAUACAAAGGCUGGUAGUGUUACAGAGGAUACUGUAUGUUCAUUAGUCCUUAUAGAGUGUAUCUGUUUUCUCAAUCGCCAAGCCCCAAAAUUCCCUAACAUGGAUUUUGUACUGUUUGAAAAUUAUGCGAGACAAUACAUGUUCACAUCA
This is a long non-coding RNA of Lolium rigidum, 154 nucleotides long. RefSeq lists it as uncharacterized. The record is from RefSeq and is a predicted model, not a curated record. The transcript is spliced from 2 exons. NCBI's taxonomy places the organism in Eukaryota, Viridiplantae, Streptophyta, Magnoliopsida, Poales, Poaceae.